Non-coding RNA from Phthorimaea operculella (potato tuberworm), 75 nucleotides. The record is from the annotation of a GenBank genome assembly. NCBI's taxonomy places the organism in Eukaryota, Metazoa, Arthropoda, Insecta, Lepidoptera, Gelechiidae.
ACCGCGGUAGCCCAGUUGGUAGUGGCGUCGGCAGUACAGAUGCCGAGACCGCGGGUUAAAAUCCUGCCUGCGGUG